This 268-nucleotide ribosomal RNA is filed under the name uncultured Glomus. RNAcentral's name for it is "partial small subunit ribosomal RNA". It matches the Rfam family "Eukaryotic small subunit ribosomal RNA", at positions 605 to 877 of the family's 1831-position model. The record is from RNAcentral. Lineage: Eukaryota; Fungi; Glomeromycota; Glomeromycetes; Glomerales; Glomeraceae.
UAAAGUUGUUGCAGUUAAAAAGCUCGUAGUUGAAUUUCGGGAUUAGUAAGUUGGUCGUGCCUCUGGUAUGUACUGGCUUUACUGGUUCCUCCUUCUUGAAGAACUGUAAUGUCAUUAAUUUGGUGUUGCAGGGAAACAGGACUGUUACUUUGAAAAAAUUAGAGUGUUUAAAGCAGGCUAACGCUUGAAUACAUUAGCAUGGAAUAAUGAAAUAGGACGUUCGAUCCUACUUUGUUGGUUUCUAGGAUUGACGUAAUGAUUAAUAGGG